AAAGAAAACCCAGAGCAGGGGAAGUGACAAGAAGCCCAAACGAGCUCAGCAGAAAGCUCACACGGCUCAGUCUCAAAUUCCAGAAGACCUCCGGUUAAGCGAACAGGCGAGGGGCAGUGAAUGCAACUGAGGGACUCUGGAGAGACUACUCCUCAGUGUGUUGUGAAGGCUCCACUAUCCUCUGUGCUCUAGUAGCUGUUACCCAAGCCGAUGGGAAAUAACCAAUCCACUUCCUGACAGACGCCCCUGAGAUGCGUCCUUGAUAAUUGGAAGCUGUUCCAUCCUCUAACUCUAAGAAGUC
Long non-coding RNA from Bos taurus (domestic cattle), 301 nucleotides. NCBI's taxonomy places the organism in Eukaryota, Metazoa, Chordata, Mammalia, Artiodactyla, Bovidae. The record is from Ensembl.